AAAGGAACAGCAUCAGGACACAUUGAGGCUCAGAAAUUUAUAUUCCAAGAAGAGGUGCACAGGAACAGAGCAGAUCCAAAGACAACCACCUGGAAGCAGUCAUAACAACAGAAAUAGCAAAUCAAUGCUG
Molecule: long non-coding RNA, 130 nt
Filed under: Pan troglodytes (chimpanzee)
Lineage: Eukaryota; Metazoa; Chordata; Mammalia; Primates; Hominidae
Description: lincRNA
Source: RNAcentral